AGUGAACGCUGGCGGUAGGCCUAACACAUGCAAGUCGAACGGCAGCACAGUAAGAGCUUGCUCUUACGGGUGGCGAGUGGCGGACGGGUGAGGAAUACAUCGGAAUCUACUUUUUCGUGGGGGAUAACGUAGGGAAACUUACGCUAAUACCGCAUACGACCUACGGGUGAAAGCAGGGGAUCUUCGGACCUUGCGCGAUUGAAUGAGCCGAGGUCGGAUUGGCUAGUUGGCGGGGUAAAGGCCCACCAAGGCGACGAUCCGUAGCUGGUCUGAGAGGAUGAUCAGCCACACUGGAACUGAGACACGGUCCAGACUCCUACGGGAGGCAGCAGUGGGGAAUAUUGGACAAUGGGCGCAAGCCUGAUCCAGCCAUACCGCGUGGGUGAAGAAGGCCUUCGGGUUGUAAAGCCCUUUUGUUGGGAAAGAAAAGCAGCAGGUUAAUACCCCGCUGUUCUGACGGUACCCAAAGAAUAAGCACCGGCUAACUUCGUG
RNAcentral lists this ribosomal RNA (492 nucleotides) under uncultured bacterium. RNAcentral's name for it is "partial 16S ribosomal RNA". It matches the Rfam family "Bacterial small subunit ribosomal RNA", at positions 29 to 507 of the family's 1533-position model. The record is from RNAcentral.